Molecule: long non-coding RNA, 1710 nt
Filed under: Homo sapiens (human)
Lineage: Eukaryota; Metazoa; Chordata; Mammalia; Primates; Hominidae
Description: PREDICTED lncRNA (TCONS_00188980)
Rfam family: SOX2 overlapping transcript exon 3 (bases 693-968)
Source: RNAcentral
GUCGUAAAAGGGGACGCGGAGGAGAAGGAAAGUCGCUCAAGCAGUGGACAGAGCGGAGAAAGCGACUUCGGGUUGGUUGAAGGUUCAGCCUGAGAAAACUCCUGAGCAUGUGCGAAAAAGAAAAGAAGAAAAGAAAAGUAAAGAAAAGAAAAAAGGAAAAAGGGCAAGCUCCUGAGUGGAUCUCUCAGGGAGCCACCAGACAGCCGCAGAGAGAAGAAGCUGCCCAAGAAUGGAAAGGAAGAAAUAUAUCACAUCAUCUGUCUGUCCACAGGCUUUCCUUGGGGCUUAUGAAGUGAAUGAAGGAGGGAAGAAAGGAGAGACAGAGAAAAUAUGGAUUUCCUCAUGGUUGUGAUUCCUCUUCACUCUUUUGAAUUUGGAAGGAUGGCAUACACAUCUGAAAAAUACCACUACUUCCUUCAUUGGACUGCAAGGUAUUUCUGUUUGGAAAAGUAAUGGAGUCCAGUCAACUUCAUUGAUCGCCAAGGACUGUCAAAAUUAUAAAACUUGCUGUGGAGCUCUGACAUGCCAGAAGCCGCUAGAAAAAGAAGUUUGACAUUCAGAAACUUAUCAAGAGGUUCUACUCUUUGGAUAGAGACCAAAAUCAUACUUUGAAAAAGCCUGACAGGUUUCUUCGGAAAAGUGGCCAUCCAUGGAAUGAAUGAAAUGUUCUCUUUCUAUUCCAGGGAUUGCAGUGGCAAAGCUAGGCUAGGUCUUGGAGGCUGGUGUAAGGCGAUGUGGGUGAAGGCAGGAGGCUGAUGGAAAGACUGGGGGGAAGAAAAGCCGAAAUGGAUUCACGGUGCCUUGGAUGAAGGACGAGAGGGGAACUGCAAGCUCCUUCAACUGGUUCUGUCCGGUGAGAAGUGAUCAAGCUUGGGCUGACAAGAGGCUCAGGGAGCCCUCACGUUCUUUCGCUUUUUUACCUGCCAAUCAAACUGCUACAAGACAACACCCUGAUCUGGCAUGGACAUCGCGGGUCCAAGCCUGUAGCCCCAAAUCGGAUAAUCUCUGCAGCUGAUAACAAGCAAAAGAGAAGCCAGGCAACAGCCAUAUUAAAGAAGAAAACAAUCAACUCUGAGGAUGGCUGCCAGGGAAUAGAUGAAAGGCAGAAGUGGCGAUGGGUGACUGAUGUGGCACACUUAUGAAGAAAAGCCUCUUUUUCCAUGCUUGUUUUUCCUCCCCAAGGAGCCAACAGAGUUUCUAUUCUCCAACUCUGCUCUUCACCUUACCCAAGUCAUUGCAGUCACCUGGAGUCACGGAAAUGACCAUGAUUGCCUGAACUUUCAUGACUUCUGUGGAUAACUGUGGUUGCAGAAAAGAGAAAACCUGGACCGUGAGGGACAUUUCACUCCCUGGGCUUUGGUACAUGGUACAUGUGUGGUUGGAUGUGUGUUGCCAGAAAACAGCCUGCCAUGUCUGAGGCUAUGCUCCCAGACUAGCAGCCUGGGUUACAGGGGAAGAGCUGAAGUUGGGUUGGGGAAGUUUAAUAUACUAUACUUUUAAAAUUUUUUUACUUUUGGCUAAUAUUUAUCUAUUUAUUUAUUUUUAUUUUUUGUAGAGACAGGGUUUUGCCAUGUUGCCCUGGCUGGUCUCAAACUACUGAGCUUGAGAAUCUGCUUGUCUUGGCCUCCCAAAGAGCUAGGAUUACAGGCAUGAGCCAUCGAGCCUGGCUCCUUUUAUUCUUUUCAUGACACUACCUCUUCCUAGGAGAGG